GCCCCAGUAACGGCGAGUGAAGCGGCAACAGCUCAAAUUUGAAAUCUGGCCCCCAGGGCCCGAGUUGUAAUUUGCAGAGGAUGCUUUUGGUGAGGUGCCUUCCGAGUUCCCUGGAACGGGACGCCAUAGAGGGUGAGAGCCCCGUCUGGUUGGAUACCGAGCCUCUGUAAAGCUCCUUCGACGAGUCGAGUAGUUUGGGAAUGCUGCUCUAAAUGGGAGGUAUAUGUCUUCUAAAGCUAAAUAUUGGCCAGAGACCGAUAGCGCACAAGUAGAGUGAUCGAAAGAUGAAAAGCACUUUGAAAAGAGGGUUAAAUAGUACGUGAAAUUGUUGAAAGGGAAGCACUUAUGACCAGACUUGGCCCCGGUGAAUCAUCCAGCGGUUCCCGUUGGUGCACUUUGCCGGGGUUCAGGCCAGCAUCAGUUCGCUCCGGGGGAUAAAGGCUUUGGGAAUGUGGCUCCCUCGGGAGUGUUAUAGCCCAUUGCGCAAUACCCUGUGGCGGGCUGAGGUUCGCGCUUUAUGCAAGGAUGCUGGCAUAAUGGUCAUCAGUGACCCGUCUUGAAACACGGACCAAGGAGUCGUCUUCGUAUGCGAGUGUUCGGGUGUUAAACCCCUACGCGUAAUGAAAGUGAACGCAGGUGAGAGCCCUCCAGGGCGCAUCAUCGACCGAUCCUGAUGUUCUCGGAUGGAUUUGAGUAAGAGCAUACGGGGCCGGACCCGAAAGAAGGUGAACUAUGCCUGUAUAGGGUGAAGCCAGAGGAAACUCUGGUGGAGGCUCGCAGCGGUUCUGACGUGCAAAUCGAUCGUCAAAUAUGGGCAUGGGGGCGAAAGACUAAUCGAACCUUCUAGUAGCU
This 852-nucleotide ribosomal RNA is filed under the name Metarhizium brunneum. RNAcentral's name for it is "partial large subunit ribosomal RNA". It matches the Rfam family "Eukaryotic large subunit ribosomal RNA", at positions 77 to 952 of the family's 3401-position model. The record is from RNAcentral. Lineage: Eukaryota; Fungi; Ascomycota; Sordariomycetes; Hypocreales; Clavicipitaceae.